GACGAACGCUGGCGGCGUGCCUAACACAUGCAAGUCGAGCGGAGUCGAUCGACGGAAGCCUUCGGGCGGAAGAUGGUUGACUUAGCGGCGGAUGGGUGAGUAACGCGUGGGCAACCUGCCUCGAAGACCGGGAUAACAGCCCGAAAGGGCUGCUAAUACCGGAUGUGGUCAAGGAUCCGCAUGGAUUUUUGAUUAAAGGGGAAACCCGUUUCGAGAUGGGCCCGCGUCCUAUCAGCUAGUUGGUGAGGUAAAAGCUCACCAAGGCGACGACGGGUAGCCGGCCUGAGAGGGUGACCGGCCACACUGGAACUGAGACACGGUCCAGACUCCUACGGGGGGCAGCAGUGGGGAAUCUUCCACAAUGGGCGAAAGCCUGAUGGAGCGACGCCGCGUGAGCGAAGAAGGCCUCGGUUGUAAGACUCUGUCUGGAGGGACGAAGGAAGUGACGGUACCUCCGGAGGAAGCCACGGCUAACUACGUG
RNAcentral lists this ribosomal RNA (481 nucleotides) under uncultured bacterium. RNAcentral's name for it is "bacterial SSU rRNA". It matches the Rfam family "Bacterial small subunit ribosomal RNA", at positions 28 to 507 of the family's 1533-position model. The record is from RNAcentral.